This 497-nucleotide ribosomal RNA is filed under the name uncultured bacterium. Its description in RNAcentral is "partial 16S ribosomal RNA". It matches the Rfam family "Bacterial small subunit ribosomal RNA", at positions 28 to 507 of the family's 1533-position model. The record is from RNAcentral.
GAUGAACGCUGGCGGCGUGCCUAAUACAUGCAAGUCGAGCGAACGGACGCGAAGCUUGCUUCUCUGAUGUUAGCGGAGGACGGGAGAGUAACACGUGGAUAACCUACCUAUAAGACUGGGAUAACUUCGGGACACCGUAGCUAAUACCGGAUAAUCUUUUGAACCGCAUGGUUCAAAAGUGAAAGACGGUCUUGCUGUCACUUAUCGAUGGAUCCGCGCUGCAUUAGCUAGUUGGUAAGGUAACGGCCUACCAAGGCAACGAUGCAUAGCCGACCUGAGGGGGUGAUCGGCCACACGGGAACUUAGACGCGGUCCUUACUCCUACGGGAGGCAGCAGUAGGGAAUCUUCCGCAGUGGUCGAAAGCCUGACGGAGCAGCGCCGCGUGAGUGAUGAAGGUCUUCGGAUCGUAAAACUCUGUUAUGAGGGAAGAACAUAUGUGUAAGGAACUGUGCACAGCGUGACGGUACCUAAUCAGAAAGCCACGGCCAACUACGUG